Molecule: long non-coding RNA, 2221 nt
Organism: Asparagus officinalis (garden asparagus)
Lineage: Eukaryota; Viridiplantae; Streptophyta; Magnoliopsida; Asparagales; Asparagaceae
Exons: 4
Source: RefSeq, a predicted model, not a curated record
CUUUGGCCCGCUUUCUCCUGCUUUCUAGUGUCCUAGGUAUUAGAGAUGUAAUUGAUCCUUCGUUCACUCAGUUUAGUUUUGAUUUCAUAAGUUGCAUACUCCAAUUUACUAUCUAGCUAGGUAUAUUGAUUAAGAGAGGAUCUUCCUGCAACAAAUGGUCCCGUAAGUCUUCAAAAUAUUAUUUCUUAAUUAUUUUCUGGUAUGACAUUUUCUCCCCCGUUUGCCAAUUUUCUUCAGUCUUCGUAUCAUGUUCAGUUCGAAGUUCUCGUAUUGAUAUUCAAUGUUAUCUUCACUCUUUGAAGUUGUAAAAAUAUUGACUCUUUGCCUAGGCUUGAGUGAAUUUAUUCUAUUUCGACCUUAAUAAGACAUACAUAUUUUCUUAUUUUCUAACUUUUUUAUUUUAUUUUGAAACAAACUUCAUGCUUUCGUGAUUCAUUUUUUUUUUUGCAUUCACAUGUUUACAUUUACCAUAUGAGAUAUCAUAGUUUGAUCCUUAUGAGUAUCGUUUUUUAUUCUUGUGGAGUAUGUAAAUUAGUAUAUUUGAAUCACUAGUCUUAAUAAGUAUAUCUAGUCAUUACUUCCUACAGUUAUCUUCUUAAAUAUUUGUUAGAUUCAUUAUAUUCAUCUUUAUGAUGCUUCAAAUAUAUCGCUUAUCAUUGCCUAUAAAUUUCCAACAAUCAACAAGUUAUCUCGUAUAGUUUACACUUUUCUUAAAUUUUCAAUUUUUCUAAUUUAUCCUGUUUUAGUUAUGUUAACCUUUUUCAAUUAAAUAUUUUCCGCGUUUCUUGCCUUAAAUGCCCUCGUACGCCCCUGAAGCCUGAACACCAUCCUAUCGCUUUCCAAAAUAGAGCUUACCAUCACGUGAAGUGCAGAAUAUAGUGACACUCAAUGGUAUCUGAGGAUUUUGCUUUCAUGUGUUAAGCCAAAUUUUAGGGUUUAAAUUUGUAUCAUCUACUAGUAGAUAUGUUACUCCUUUUCGUACAAUUCUCUUAAAAAAAGACAUACUUUUCUUGGUAAUAUCUUAAAUCUAUCAGACUAUGCAGUCUAAGUUUUAACAGUGCAUGAAUAAUGCACUUGCUAGUUAAAGCAGGACUUUCUGGUUGAUGCUUAUAGCUCCUAUUCAGUAUUUAAUCUUUGCUCGUUUUAUCCCAUUCUAUCAAGGCAUCUGGAAUAGCUGCUCUUGAUGUAAAAAUAAAUAAAUAAAUAAAAAAUAAAUAAAUAAAAACUCAAAGAUGCUGCUCUCUGCACUGUGGAGUCUGUUGCAUAUUCACCAAGAAAAGAUCUACUACAAAAGGAAAUAGCGAGGCGAAAGUUGACAAAAUCAUUGAAGCAGGUAUGGUUUCCCUCCCAAUAAUAAUAAUAAUAAUAAUAACCAAAAUGUCUAUCAACAAGUUCUUAUAGAACAUUAAAUAGAAAAUGUCUUCUACAGCCUCAAAGCCUGUUCGAUCAGGCUUUACCAGUGCUAGCCAUCUUAUUGCACAAAGGCUUUACAUCAUCCAAAAUGCAAAUCACUUUUGGGUCAAAAGAACUUGAUAAGAUAUUGAAUGGCAAACUCUACUCCAUGCAUUGAGGAUUAAAAAAGAUAUAGGCUACUAAAUGUAUAAUCAUUUAUUAACCUGAGUUUUUUCUCUGGUCAGGACAGAUUGAAACUGGAUCUGUUACUGAAAUAUGGUAAAUUUCGCUCUGGAAAGACUCAGGUGUGUCACACACUCUGCGUCACUUGUCAAGUGGUGGUGAAGGGAAAACCAUGUACAUUGAUGCAGAGGAUACUUUCGGACUGCAAAGACUCUUAUAGAUCGCAGACGGAUUUGGACUAAAUGGUGCUGAAGUUCUGGAGAAUGUGACUUAUGCUAGAGCCUAUAAUACUGAUCAUAAAUCAAGGCUUUUGCUGGAAGCAGCUUCAAUGAUGGUUUUGUAAAGUAAUAAGUUCUCCAUGCUCAGCAGAAGCUGACACAAGGUUUCAAAUUUCUUCUGAAGGUGUACCAGAUGUGAAGGAUUAAUAUAUCUGAUUCAAGCUAAGCUUGUUGCCUGAUUAUUGCGUCGGUUGCUGCUUGAUGCCCUUGUAGCUUCCAGAUGUCACAAGCUUGGGUGCAAUUCAUAAAUGUGAAAACAGUUGUCUUCUUUUCCUUUAAUAGUAUCUAUAGACUAUAACUUUGUUCUUGUAAUUUCUGUACGCACGAACAUUUUGAAACUACAGCAAGAUCAGGGAUGUUCUCUUCAA